CAUGACAACAUUGUUUUAAUAAGACGGUAAAACAUACGGUGGUCCACUGGUGCACAACAAAACGAGAUUUAUUAUUUUAUUUUUUUACCAAAAAUGAGUUCACAAUACAACACUGAGGUGACUGGUGUUUGAUACAAGGAGUCAGAAGCUUUGUUACAAGUAAGAUUAAAUAUACUCUUGAAUAUACAGUAAAAAAUACAUAACUUUUAGUUAAAGAAUAAAAGGUAAUAAAUUUAGUCCAGUUUCUGAAUUUAACUUGAAAGUAAAAUGCACUUCAUGCAGCACUUGUUCUUUAAUAUGCUUUAAUAGAUCUUAUGAUCUUUAAUAGAUCAAAGUUUAUGUGAAAGCAAAAUGUCCAUCAACCUUCAAUCCAUAAUUAUUCAAUUUCUG
Triplophysa dalaica is the source of this 390-nucleotide long non-coding RNA. RefSeq lists it as uncharacterized. NCBI's taxonomy places the organism in Eukaryota, Metazoa, Chordata, Actinopteri, Cypriniformes, Nemacheilidae. The record is from RefSeq and is a predicted model, not a curated record. The transcript is spliced from 2 exons.